RNAcentral lists this ribosomal RNA (245 nucleotides) under uncultured Ruminococcus sp. RNAcentral describes it as "partial 16S ribosomal RNA". It matches the Rfam family "Bacterial small subunit ribosomal RNA", at positions 524 to 768 of the family's 1533-position model. The record is from RNAcentral. Lineage: Bacteria; Bacillati; Bacillota; Clostridia; Eubacteriales; Oscillospiraceae.
UACGUAGGGAGCGAGCGUUGUCCGGAAUUACUGGGUGUAAAGGGUGCGUAGGCGGGUUUGCAAGUCAGAUGUGAAAUGUACGGGCUUAACCCGUGCCCUGCAUUUGAAACUGUAGAUCUUGAGUGAGGUAGAGGUAAGCGGAAUUCCUAGUGUAGCGGUGAAAUGCGUAGAUAUUAGGAGGAACAUCGGUGGCGAAGGCGGCUUACUGGGCCUUUACUGACGCUGAGGCACGAAAGCGUGGGGAG